AAAAACGUAUGUCCACUAGGUGGCAAUAGGUGCCUCAAAGUCAGUUUUGCCAGACCGCCAAUGAUAAGGGAAGAAGAAGGCUACGGCGAUCAGCCAAGCCCUCUCACGUAGGUGCAACGUCUGCCAGCACUUUACUUGCUUCAGAAAGACAAACUGCUCAUCAUUUUCAUUUAUAGUUAAAACUAUUACGUCUAUAUAAAGGUGACAUUGGACCAGGUUAAAGGAGUCGAUCAUUUUGCUGUACAUCAGGAUUCACCAGUGCUGCUGAUGGUCCAUGAUUGGCUUCCACCUCCCUCUGAAGGUGCCCAUGGUGACAAGGUCUUUUACACUGGAUGAAGUGGACCUGUUAACUUUGUACUUUUUUCUGUGGAAAUCAUAAGCGAAUCAUUGAACAUUAUCAAAGUAAUCACAGACAUUACGGAAGAACUUGCCUUCUUCCCUGCAUAUACAGUAACUGCUCACAGUAUUUCAGAUCCA
Molecule: long non-coding RNA, 477 nt
Filed under: Gouania willdenowi (blunt-snouted clingfish)
Lineage: Eukaryota; Metazoa; Chordata; Actinopteri; Blenniiformes; Gobiesocidae
Description: lncRNA (ENSGWIG00000008955.1)
Source: RNAcentral